RNAcentral lists this ribosomal RNA (433 nucleotides) under uncultured bacterium. RNAcentral describes it as "partial 16S ribosomal RNA". It matches the Rfam family "Bacterial small subunit ribosomal RNA", at positions 29 to 507 of the family's 1533-position model. The record is from RNAcentral.
AACGAACGCUGGCGGCAUGCCUAACACAUGCAAGUCGAACGAGACCUUCGGGUCUAGUGGCGCACGGGUGCGUAACGCGUGGGAACCUGCCCUUAGGUUCGGAAUCACUCCCCGAAAGGGGUGCUAAUACCGGAUAAUGUCUUCGGACCAAAGAUUUAUCGCCUUUGGGUGGGCCCGCGUUGGAUUAGCCAGUUGGUAGUGUAAAAGCCUACCAAGGCGACGAUCCAUAGCUGGUCUGAGAGGAUGAUCAGCCACACUGGGACUGAGACACGGCCCAGACUCCUACGGGAGGCAGCAGUGGGGAAUAUUGGACACUGGGCGAAAGCCUGAUCCAGCAAUGCCGCGUGAGUGAUGAAGGCCUUAGGGUUGUAAAGCUCUUUUACCCGAGAUGAUAAUGACAGUACCGGGAGAAUAAGCUCCGGCUAACUCCGUG